UACGUAGGGUGCAAACGUUAUCCGGAUUUAUUGGGCGUAAAGAGCUCGUAGGCGGCGAUAUAAGUUGGAUAUUAAAGACCCAGGCUCAACCUGGGGAAAGUAUCCAAGACUGUAUUGCUAGAGUGAUGCAGGGGAGAACGGAACUUACGGUGUAGCGGUAAUAUGCGUAGAUAUCGUAAGGAACGCCAAUGGUGAAGACAGUUCUCUGGGCAUUUUCUGACGCUGAGGAGCGAAAGCGUGGGUAGCGAUCGGG
Molecule: ribosomal RNA, 253 nt
Filed under: uncultured bacterium
Lineage: Bacteria
Description: partial 16S ribosomal RNA
Rfam family: Bacterial small subunit ribosomal RNA
Source: RNAcentral